RNAcentral lists this ribosomal RNA (253 nucleotides) under uncultured bacterium. RNAcentral's name for it is "partial 16S ribosomal RNA". It matches the Rfam family "Bacterial small subunit ribosomal RNA", at positions 524 to 776 of the family's 1533-position model. The record is from RNAcentral.
UACGUAGGCAGCGAGCGUUGUUCGGAAUUACUGGGCGUAAAGAGUGUGUAGGCGGUGCUCUAAGUUCGGUGUGAAAUCUCCUGGCUCAACUGGGAGGGUGCGCCGGAAACUGGAGUGCUUGAGCGUGGGAGAGGAAAGCGGAAUUCCUGGUGUAGCAGUGAAAUGCGUAGAUAUCAGGAGGAACACCGAUGGCGAAGGCAGGUCUCUGGGCUGACACUGACGCUCAUGCACGAAAGCGUGGGGAGCAAACAGG